This 463-nucleotide ribosomal RNA is filed under the name uncultured bacterium. Its description in RNAcentral is "bacterial SSU rRNA". It matches the Rfam family "Bacterial small subunit ribosomal RNA", at positions 28 to 501 of the family's 1533-position model. The record is from RNAcentral.
GACGAACGCUGGCGGCGUGCUUAACGCAUGCAAGUCGAACGAGAUCCAUGUAGUGGCAACACUGCGGAAGAUCGAGUGGCGAACGGGUGAGUAACACGUGAGGAACCCACCCCGAAGACCGGGAUAACCUCCGAAAGGAGAGCUAAUACCGGAUGCCCUCACCGGGUCGCAUGGUCUGGUGAGGAAAUGGAUUCCGCUUCGGGACGGCCUCGCGGCCUAUCAGGUAGUUGGUGGGGUAACGGCCCACCAAGCCGACGACGGGUAGCUGGUCUGAGAGGACGAUCAGCCACACUGGGACUGAGACACGGCCCAGACUCCUACGGGAGGGCAGCAGCGGGGAAUAUUGCGCAAUGGGCGAAAGCCUGACGCAGCAACGCCGCGUGAGGGAUGAAGGCUCUCGGGUUGUAAACCUCUUUCAGCAGGGACGAUUGUGACGGUACCUGCAGAAGAAGCCCCGGCCAAC